GAAACAGCACAGCAAGACUUGGGGGCUUGAGAGAACCUUCCAGAACCAACCAGAAAGCAGGGUUCCUGAGAUCUGUUCCUGGAGGGUCAGUGUGUGACAGUUUGCAGAAUUUCCGGCUCUUCCCUCCAGGACCGGAACUGGGGAGUCUUGACCUGCAGAACAUGUGCAGUGCUGGUUCUGCGAAUUAAGGCAUUACAGAAAUUCAACCAGCACAUCACCAGGAACCCCCCCCCCCCCCCCCC
Molecule: long non-coding RNA, 242 nt
Organism: Brienomyrus brachyistius
Lineage: Eukaryota; Metazoa; Chordata; Actinopteri; Osteoglossiformes; Mormyridae
Exons: 3
Source: RefSeq, a predicted model, not a curated record